RNAcentral lists this ribosomal RNA (253 nucleotides) under uncultured bacterium. Its description in RNAcentral is "partial 16S ribosomal RNA". It matches the Rfam family "Bacterial small subunit ribosomal RNA", at positions 524 to 776 of the family's 1533-position model. The record is from RNAcentral.
UACGUAGGGUGCGAGCGUUGUCCGGAAUUAUUGGGCGUAAAGAGCUUGUAGGCGGUUUGUCGCGUCCGCUGUGAAAAUCCGAGGCUCAACCUCGGACUUGCAGUGGGUACGGGCAGACUAGAGUGUGGUAGGGGAGACUGGAAUUCCUGGUGUAGCGGUGGAAUGCGCAGAUAUCAGGAGGAACACCGAUGGCGAAGGCAGGUCUCUGGGCCACUACUGACGCUGAGAAGCGAAAGCAUGGGGAGCGAACAGG